Molecule: microRNA precursor, 144 nt
Filed under: Prunus dulcis (almond)
Lineage: Eukaryota; Viridiplantae; Streptophyta; Magnoliopsida; Rosales; Rosaceae
Description: sRNA ncRNA
Source: RNAcentral
AAAUGAGAGAGAGAGAGAGAGAGAGAGAGAGAGAGAGAGAGAUGGUUUUUGAAAUAAGAACUAGAAACAGCCAUAAAUGGUUUUUAGUUCUGAAGUUCUCUGUUAUUCUUUCUCUCUUCUUCAGCUCUCAAUUCUCAUUUCUCU